RNAcentral lists this ribosomal RNA (496 nucleotides) under uncultured Glomeromycotina. RNAcentral describes it as "partial small subunit ribosomal RNA". It matches the Rfam family "Eukaryotic small subunit ribosomal RNA", at positions 591 to 1092 of the family's 1831-position model. Lineage: Eukaryota; Fungi; Glomeromycota. The record is from RNAcentral.
CCAAUAGCGUAUAUUAAAGUUGUUGCAGUUAAAAAGCUCGUAGUUGAAUUUCGGGGUUCUACCGUUGGUCGGGCAAUAGUCUGUACUGGCGUGUGGAAUUUCUACCUUCUGGGGAACCAUCAUGUUAUUAAUUUAGCGUGGUGGGAAACCAGGACCUUUACCUUGAAAAAAUUAGAGUGUUCAAAGCAGGCUUACGUCUGAAUACAUUAGCAUGGAAUAAUAAAAUAGGAAGGUGGUCCUGUUUUGUUGGUUUCUGAAUCACCGUAAUGAUUAAUAGGGAUAGUUGGGGGCAUUAGUAUUCAAUUGUCAGAGGUGAAAUUCUUGGAUUUAUUGAAGACUAACUUCUGCGAAAGCAUUUGCCAAGGAUGUUUUCAUUAAUCAAGAACGAAAGUUAGGGGAUCGAAGACGAUCAGAUACCGUCGUAGUCUUAACCAUAAACUAUGCCGACUAGGGAUCGGACGAUGUUAAUUUUUCUUGACUCGUUCGGCGCCUUACG